ACUGAAGAGACAGCAUGUAACCUGCCCAGCUGAAAAAGCAGCACAUCAAGGAGACGGUCUCACUCAUCACAGCCAGUCCAUCAUCCAGAGAAACAGCACACUCCCGUCCCUCCAGAGGCUUGUGGCAUGCUGCAUACAUGUUAGACACAAAAUGGACUCCAAUUGAUCUAUUGGCCCACAUGUAAUGGAGGAAAAGAUGUGACAUAAGCCGGAAGGGCUUUACAGGACCCGGCAUUCAUCUGUGUUGUAACUCGCCAAGGCACCUGGAGAUCAGCGUCCCUUCCCCAUAAGCCAUGUCUGCUCUCAGUCACCUGCACCCACUGACAUCUAGCAGGCCCUUAAUAAAUUUCCAGAGGAGAAGGCUGGAAAACCCAGCUAUUGCUGAUGUAUCCCAAACAAUCUGGAGAUCCUAAUGAGGACCAGGACUGGACUGGAGGGUGAGGGGGCACACCUGGGCAUACCACUUAAGGAGAUACCAAUCACAGAUGCUGGCUUUGCACAUCUGCAUCCUUAUGAUCCAGGACCCCCUUAAACAGCAUGUUCUGAACACCUGGCUUAUCUCAUCCUUGACUAGGGUCUAUCCUGGACUUUGUUUUUCUGGGAAUUGAACCUAGCGUGCCGUGCUCAGAAGGAAGAAAUGAUGUCUUUCACUUCAAAUAUGGGGAAAGUAAAAUUCUUAAGAUUCCAACUAUUAGAAGACAAACUAUCAGAAGCCAGAUUGAGCUGCAAGCCCAUACUCGUAACAUUUAGGAGAUGAAUAAAUAAGCAGGUUAAGUCGCUGUGAGACUCUGUGCAUGUCCACAAAGAAAGCUACUGAACCAUUCCAGGUGGUGUGAAAACAGCAAGAUGAAUUUCUAAACCAUCAAGAAGAAAAAGCCAAGUGGCAGGCGUCAGCGGAACCUUCUCUCUCUAUUACACUCUUACGGGAACUUGAGCUAUAAAAGACAAAAAUUACCUUGCCCAGAGAGCCCCCACAUAUAUAUCUGUGACUUUCACUGUAUUUUAUUUAAUUCAGUAUUAAGUGAGUUAAAAUAUGAAGACUUUGGCCUAUUCGAGCACGGACCCCUUACGGCAGAUCUUGUGGGUCGUUCAAAACGGACUUUCCUCCAAAAGCACCCACACCAGUGCUGCACACGGCUGUCACGCGGACGCUCCGAGCACAGACUAAAUUCGUCUCCCUUACGUAUCACCGGUGACCGACACACACUCUCUCUGAAGCAAAACCCUCCACUUGAGUCUGAGAUGACACUUCUGGCUUUGAGGUAAACAGCUCAAUACUGCAGCUGGAUUGCUCUGUGAUGGCUUUACCUCUGUCCCUGUCAAUCCCACCGCGCCUCCUCUCUCUAGCUCACCCUGCUCGGUAGCUCAGGGGAAACAGAGCUGCUUUCCCUGACACACAGUGGUGAGACCGCCUAGCCCAGUCUCUCAAGAAGGAAGCCGAAGCAGUGGCAUCUGGGUCUCCUACCCGAGGCAGGCUGAGGCGCCGGCGUGCAGCGUGUGCAGGAGUGCCUGAAGAGCUGCCAUGUUGAUUGCGCGAUACAAUUGUGGGUUUUAUUACCUUCCGGGGGGUGGGGGGAGAAUGGGAGACAUAAAAGCAGGAGUUUUGUGCCAGAUGCUAGGACUAAACGCUCUGUUUCUCUGAUUAGCGUCAGUGACACGGGCUUUGAAUGUGAACCACUUGUAAGUCUCUCCAGGUGAGCUCUCAGUCUUGCCCGUGCCGUUUAUGCCAGACGUUUAUAUGCUUGCUCUUCUCAGGUGGAAUCCAGAUGAAGUUCAGUCUUGCUUAGAAGAGACUGAAGAGGUUUUUUCUUUUUUUAAAAAAGAUUUACAAGUCAGGGUGAUUUUCUUUUUCUAGAAGAAAGGCAAAACUCUUGCUCGGACCCUGAGGGGACAGCUUGGGCUAGGGUAUUAAGUGUGGGGUGGCCCCAAGAGGACCAAAGGAGGUGGCCACAGCACUUCCUUUGCUGUUCUACCAACGACUGCUCCCCCAUCUUCCCCACUGCCCAAGUGAGCUCUUCUUUGAAAUGUCAGCUGGACGGUAGCAGUUUUCUCUUGAUUCUAUACUCUGAGCUGAACCCCGAUCUCCCAGCUCCCGUCUCGGCCCUCACUCAGACUUUAAGUGCAUUCCCCCUAAUGUGGUUGGGCUCUGUAGCUUCCAUCUGAAUCUCUGUUGGGUGCUCUCUACCAUCUCUGCAUCUUCCAUAUCUGUAGGGAUGUGAUUUGGUGUGGUCAGCCUGCAACCACAGGUAAGGCACUGUGGCAAGCUGGCAGGGAAGAUGAGGUCUGCCCUGAGAGGGAGGGAUCAGACACCACGCCUCCUGCUAGGGGUCCCAGGCCCUUGUCAGCUUCUCUUCUCAGGCUCCAGUGACCUGCUCUGGCAAGUGUCCAAAUUCUGGGAUUUUUAAAUUUCUCAUCACCUUCCUCUCUAUACAUAAAGACAAGAGGAUCAUUUAUCCCCGCCUCCUGUUGAACAAAACAUCCCUUCCCUCAGAGCUAUCUCCUCUGUUUUCCCAGGUCUUCAGGGCCGCGCUACCUCAGGAGUACGACUAUCAACACUCACCCAACUCCUCUUCCCCCUACUCCGUGCCCUUGUGAACCCAUUACUCCCCGUGUGACGUGAGCACCUCAUUGGUGUUCCCAAAUAUGGCAGGGGAGGGAGCGCCUGUCUCCACCAUUUGGUAGCAGGAGAGAGAGAGAGGAAUCCUGUUCCUGUCGCCACCUUGGCAGGUGUCAACUCCUCACAGCUGACUGUAAGGCAUCUUUGUGUACAGCCCUGGCAGUACAACCCUGUACCAUGUACCGCAAUGGGAAUCCUUCGCAGAUCCGGUCGGGUUCCCUUUGGUAGCACGUGUCUCCAAGGAGCAUAAACGUCACCAGAGAGACAUGAUGCCAACCUCAGCUUUUCACUCAACAGCAUCCUGCUUUCAGCUCACCCUGCAACUGAAACUAUGCUACUAAACUGUACCUGUUGGCUACAUCAGUGUCUCAGGCAGGUAUCUCUGUACGUCUUUGUCCUGACCACUGUCUCCCACAGGAAACUCACGGGCUUUGACUGACAGACUCGGAUCUGCUCUAUCUCCCACUUUUUCCCUUAGCUGUGGGGUGCAGGGUUAAGUCAUUAACACUCUCUGGUCUUCACCUAUAAAAUGACAAUAAUGUCUGCUUGCAAUGCCUUCAGAAGCAGGAGACACCUGAGGUAGAAUCUGUAGGUAGGGCUUUGCUUUCCUAAUCAAGAGCCUUUUCUCAGAAAUCCAGAGCACCGCUCUCCCCCACGACCAAGCGUGGCCAACCUUGAAGCACGACUACAAAUAGUCAUCCAGAUGCAGAAACCCUCCCGGCUUGGCUUGCCCAGCGGAGAGGAACAAAGUGACGGGACCGGGGGAGUAGCUGGGGUCUGGGGGUCGGGGUUGACCUUACCCCCUGGGCCUGUCCACACCUCCCCCUUUAAACAGGCCCGCUGGAGACUAUGUUAAAUGAACCACAGCUGGAAUGAAGGCCCACCUGUCCACUGUGGGGUGUGCUGGACGAACUGGACAGAGGGUUUCGGAGUCUCACUUUCUCCUCAGCUGAUGCACUGCACCUCAGGCUUCCUUCUUCUUUCCAGUGAGGAGCCUGGACGGCAGGGGCGUUAGCAGGCUCCUGUGGCACCUGCCAGCGGCUACCAGGACUGAUUCUCCACAGCCCCAGAUGGAAGGGAUGACUGGGGCUUACUCAUUCAGGGUUAGUGUGAGAACACAAGGGCCCAGCCUCUCACAUGCCGCUGCAAAGAGGGUCACAGAGAGAUCAACAAAACCCAUGCUCCUGAGGCGGGUUCCCGACCGGGCUGGGGCUGAUGGCUUGCAAAAACGAAGGCGACUCCCUGGACCUGCUGUGGCCCUUGCAGUAUCCACAAACCCAUUCUCUUUCCCUGUAGUAGCUCAGGCUUCUUCUGAGGAGAGAGUAUGCUUAGCUCAGGGUUCCUUUAUUUAUUUUUUA
Molecule: non-coding RNA, 3975 nt
Organism: Myodes glareolus (Bank vole)
Lineage: Eukaryota; Metazoa; Chordata; Mammalia; Rodentia; Cricetidae
Source: RefSeq, a predicted model, not a curated record